AGACAUACCUGGCAGAGGAGAUAACAUGAUCACGAAGGUAGUUUCCCCAGGGCGAGGCUUAUCCCCUGCACUCCGGAUGUGCUGACCCCUGCUAUUUCCCCAAAUGUGGGAAACUCAACUGCAUAAUUUGUGGUAGAGGGGACUGCGUUCACGCUUUCCCCUG
This is a small nuclear RNA of Manis pentadactyla (Chinese pangolin), 163 nucleotides long. RefSeq annotates it as U1 spliceosomal RNA. The record is from RefSeq and is a predicted model, not a curated record. NCBI's taxonomy places the organism in Eukaryota, Metazoa, Chordata, Mammalia, Pholidota, Manidae. The transcript has a single exon.